GGGCGCGUAGCUCAGCUGGUAGAGCAGCGGACUCUUAAUCCGCGGGUCGUCGGUUCGAUCCCGACCGCGCUCA
This 73-nucleotide transfer RNA is filed under the name Deltaproteobacteria bacterium. RNAcentral's name for it is "tRNA-Lys". It matches the Rfam family "tRNA". Rfam says of the family: Transfer RNA (tRNA) molecules are approximately 80 nucleotides in length. Their secondary structure includes four short double-helical elements and three loops (D, anti-codon, and T loops). The record is from RNAcentral. Lineage: Bacteria; Pseudomonadati; Myxococcota; Myxococcia. RNAcentral also lists the same sequence under 2 other names.